GCAUCAUGAGACACCAUCAAGGCUACAGCUUGCAUCUUCUUGAGCAGCGGUUUGAUCCACACCUGGGACUACUUGAGCCAUAGCUGGGGCAGCGGAGAAGCACCGCACCAGAAUCUGGUGAACAGGGUCCUGAGGCGGUCCUGCGGAGGAAGUCUGUGGAAGCACUUUGAAAAUGUCACCCCAGUCCCUCCUGGUCAUCUUACUCCCUCCUGGCCUGUACAGUUUCCAUUGAGAAGUCUGCUGCCAGAUGGAUUGGAGAUGCUUCAUGGGAGUGAAGCUAGCCUGCUUCUAUGCUGCCAUUUUGGAACUCCUGAAAAAUAUUUUCACUGGAUUAGAAUUAGAGCUUGAUAGUUCUUUCCUUUAAGGACUUGGAAAAUAUUGUGCCACUUUCUUGUCUCCAUGUUUCAGUAGAGACUGCGUUUCACCGCAUUAGCCAGGAUGGUCUCCAUCUCCUGACCUCGUGAUCCGCCCACCUCGGCCUCCCAGUGCUGGAAUUCCAGGCGUGAGCCACCGCACCUGGCCUUCUUCUUUCACUCUGAAGACUCCAUUGUGAUUCUACUGGGUCCACCUGGAUAAGCCAAGCUAAUUUCCCAUCACAAGAUCUCCCAUCUCAAGAUCCUUAAUGUAAUCACAUCUCAAAGUCCAUUUUACCACAUAGCAUGUUCACACGUUCUGGGGACGAGGAAGAGGACAUCUUUGGGGAAUCAUUAUUCUGCCCACUAUAGUGAUUUUAAACCUUAUUUGAUCUGAGUUUUAAAAAAAAUGUUCUAAGGUUUUAAUUCAUUUGCAUUAAAAUGUUAUUUUAUUAGAAGGGCUAUACAGCCUUUACCAAAGGAUUUGUAAGAUGAGGAUGUCAUUAUCACAAUUGUCUUUUGACACAUGCCUAAAGGUGAAUUUAAUGGUGUUUAUGAUCACCCAACUACCAAGAAAUACAUAAAAGAUGUAUUACAUUCUCUUGUUUGUAAAUGAGAAGACUAGUAUUCAAAUGUUCUCUUUCAGCUUUAUAAUCCUAUGAAAAGGAGGAAGUUCUUGACUGACAUUAGACUUGUGUUAAAUUUCUAGACCCUUUCAAAGGAAAAAUCAGAUACUCCCAUUUCUGUAUAACUGACUUCUCAUACCUAAGUAAAACUUCACAGCUUUCCAAUUAAGUUUCAUUUUCUGGUUUCAGCCCAGUUAUAUAUACCCAAUCAAGAUAAUCUGGCAUCUUGACUCCCUUCAAUCAUUAGUUAUCCAUUCCAGCCAUGAAAAACUGAAGAUUUAUCCAGUUCAACAUAAAAUUUUGAACAGGAAACAACUAAAGGGCAUUCUAGCAUAGAGACAGAUUGACACAAAAGCAUACUCUUUUUGGAUAUGGUCAUCUAGUUACUCACCAGCAAGUACUGAAAGUACUGCUGUGGUUUGGAUGUGGUUUGUCAUCCCCACUAAAACUCACAUGGAAAUUUAAUUUCCAAUAUGGCAGU
Long non-coding RNA from Rhinopithecus roxellana (golden snub-nosed monkey), 1460 nucleotides. RefSeq lists it as uncharacterized. Lineage: Eukaryota; Metazoa; Chordata; Mammalia; Primates; Cercopithecidae. The record is from RefSeq and is a predicted model, not a curated record. The transcript has 4 exons.